This 268-nucleotide long non-coding RNA is filed under the name Elaeis guineensis (African oil palm). RNAcentral's name for it is "long non-coding RNA (EGUI_LNC076892)". The record is from RNAcentral. Lineage: Eukaryota; Viridiplantae; Streptophyta; Magnoliopsida; Arecales; Arecaceae.
GCCGAGUCAAUAUCUUAUCAAAAAUCAUAGUAGGUUUGUUGUGAUAUCCAUAAGGCUUACUAUUAAGAUUGAUGUGGGUUUGUCUUGAUGCAUAUUAGAUGCUUUAUGGUAUAUUUUAGAUAUGCUGCUUUGUUGUGAUAUCUACAAAGAUAGUAUUUUUCAGAUAUGACUAUAUGAAAAAUGAAGGGUCUGACUUAACUACAAAAUACUAUAGUUUGUUGUAAUAUCCACAAAGCUAUGAGUAUUUUUAGAGGUAAGAUUUAUGUUG